This 505-nucleotide ribosomal RNA is filed under the name uncultured bacterium. RNAcentral's name for it is "partial 16S ribosomal RNA". It matches the Rfam family "Bacterial small subunit ribosomal RNA", at positions 28 to 507 of the family's 1533-position model. The record is from RNAcentral.
GACGAACGCUGGCGGCGUGCCUAAUACAUGCAAGUAGAACGCACAGUUUAUACCGUAGCUUGCUACACCAUAGACUGUGAGUUGCGAACGGGUGAGUAACGCGUAGGUAACCUGCCUGGUAGCGGGGGAUAACUAUUGGAAACGAUAGCUAAUACCGCAUAAUAUUAAUUAUUGCAUGAUAAUUAAUUGAAAGGUGCAAUUGCACCACUACCAGAUGGACCUGCGUUGUAUUAGCUAGUAGGUGAGGUAACGGCUCACCUAGGCGACGAUACAUAGCCGACCUGAGAGGGUGAUCGGCCACAGUGGGACUGAGACACGGCCCAGACUCCUAAGGGAGGCAGCAGUAGGGAAUCUUCGGCAAUGGACGAAAGUCUGACCGAGCAACGCCGCGGGAGUGAAGAAGGUUUUCGGAUCGUAAAGCUCUGUUGUAAGAGAAGAACGGGUGUGAGAGUGGAAAGUUCACACUGUGACGGUAUCUUACCAGAAAGGGACGGCUAACUACGUG